This is a long non-coding RNA of Apis florea (little honeybee), 482 nucleotides long. Lineage: Eukaryota; Metazoa; Arthropoda; Insecta; Hymenoptera; Apidae. The record is from RefSeq and is a predicted model, not a curated record.
GUGCCGUGACGGGGGUUAAACCUAAGGUACGAUACACACGAGGCAAAGUCGCGCCGCGCCGCGCCGCGCAGUCUCGACUCCGAUUGGCCGACGAGAAAUCCGCGCCAACGAGCAGAGACCAGUUGAGCGCGAGACUCCGAGCCGAACGGUUGUACGCACGGACGCAGCCCGGCACCCGAAUCUACGAUAUCGUACGACGCAUUUCGUAAAUUAAUUUCCUCUUUUCGAGAUAUUUGUCAUUGUUCCGUUGCUGCCCCAUUUUGCGAAAGGGUUAUACAUAUUAUUCACGCAUAUUUCGGACUUGUGACAAGUGACACGUAAUCGCAUCAGUGGUGAUUAUCUACGUGACUGCCAAUCAUCAUUCCAGUGUGGACUCUUGUGGAUUUCUUCGAGUUUUCUUCAAAGGAGUUCGAGUGGCAGGGAGCAUCGUGUCGUCUUACGGUGAUGCAUCACUGUCGCGAGGAACGAAGGAACGAGUGGCA